GAUGAACGCUGGCGGCGUGCCUAAUACAUGCAAGUCGAGCGAACAGACGAGGAGCUUGCUCCUUUGACGUUAGCGGCGGACGGGUGAGUAACACGUGGGUAACCUACCUAUAAGACUGGGAUAACUUCGGGAAACCGGAGCUAAUACCGGAUAAUAUUUCGAACCGCAUGGUUCGAUAGUGAAAGAUGGCUUUGCUAUCACUUAUAGAUGGACCUGCGCCGUAUUAGCUAGUUGGUAAGGUAACGGCUUACCAAGGCAACGAUACGUAGCCGACCUGAGAGGGUGAUCGGCCACACUGGAACUGAGACACGGUCCAGAGUCCUGCGGGAGGCAGCAGUAGGGAAUCUUCCGCAAUGGGCGAGAGCCUUACGGAGCAACGCCGCGUGAGUGAUGAAGGUCUUCGGAUCGUAAAACUCUGUUAUUAGGGAAGAACAAACGUGUAAGUAACUGUGCACGUCUUGACGGUACCUAAUCAGAGAGCCACGGCUAACUACGUG
Molecule: ribosomal RNA, 497 nt
Filed under: uncultured bacterium
Lineage: Bacteria
Description: partial 16S ribosomal RNA
Rfam family: Bacterial small subunit ribosomal RNA
Source: RNAcentral